Molecule: ribosomal RNA, 506 nt
Filed under: uncultured bacterium
Lineage: Bacteria
Description: bacterial SSU rRNA
Rfam family: Bacterial small subunit ribosomal RNA
Source: RNAcentral
GAGUUUGAUCCUGGCUCAGGACGAACGCUGGCGGCGCGCCUAACACAUGCAAGUCGAACGGAGCUGAGAGGAGCUUGCUUUUCUUAGCUUAGUGGCGAACGGGUGAGUAACGCGUGAGUAACCUGCCCUGGAGUGGGGGACAACAGUUGGAAACGGCUGCUAAUACCGCAUAAGCCCACGACCCGGCAUCGGGUAGAGGGAAAAGGAGCAAUCCGCUUUGAGAUGGCCUCGCGUCCGAUUAGCUAGUUGGUGAGGUAAUGGCCCACCAAGGCGACGAUCGGUAGCCGGACUGAGAGGUUGAACGGCCACAUUGGGACUGAGACACGGCCCAGACUCCUACGGGAGGCAGCAGUGGGGAAUAUUGCACAAUGGGGGAAACCCUGAUGCAGCGACGCCGCGUGAAGGAAGAAGUAUCUCGGUAUGUAAACUUCUAUCAGCAGGGAAGAUAAUGACGGUACCUGACUAAGAAGCCCCGGCUAACUACGUGCCAGCCGCCGCGGUAAUUC